AAUCAACGCUGGCGGCGUGCCUAACACAUGCAAGUCGAACGCGAAAGCCCUUUCGGGGGUAAGUAGAGUGGCGUCCGGGUGAGUAACACGUAGGUAAUCUGCCUUCGGGUGGGAAUAACCAGUCGAAAGAUUGGCUAAUACCGCAUAAUGCAGCGGCACCUAAUGGUGAUUAGUUGUUAAAGCGGGGAUCGUAAGACCUCGCGCCUGAAGAGGAGCCUGCGGCAGAUUAGCUAGNGGUGAGGUAAUGGCUCACCAAGGCUUCGAUCUGUAGCUGGUCUGAGAGGACGGCCAGCCACACUGGCACUGACACACGGGCCAGACUCCUACGGGAGGCAGCAGUGGGAAGUUUUGGCAAUGGGCGAAAGCCCUGACCCAGCAACGCCGCGUGAGGGAGG
RNAcentral lists this ribosomal RNA (395 nucleotides) under uncultured bacterium. RNAcentral's name for it is "bacterial SSU rRNA". It matches the Rfam family "Bacterial small subunit ribosomal RNA", at positions 32 to 410 of the family's 1533-position model. The record is from RNAcentral.